UGCCAGCCGCCGCGGUAAUACGGAGGGCACAAACGUUGUUCGGAAUCACUGGGCAUAAAGCGCACGUAGGCGGCCUGUUAAGUCAGAUGUGAAAGCCCUCGGCCCAACCGAGGAACUGCAUCUGAAACUGGCAGGCUAGAGGACGACAGGGGUGAGUGGAACUCCAGGUGGAACGGUGAAAUGUGUAGAUAUCUGGAGGAACACCGGUGGCGAAAGCGGCUCACUGGACCAACACUGACGCUGAGGUGCGAAAGCGUGGGUAGCAAACAGGAUUAGAUA
This 279-nucleotide ribosomal RNA is filed under the name uncultured bacterium. RNAcentral's name for it is "partial 16S ribosomal RNA". It matches the Rfam family "Bacterial small subunit ribosomal RNA", at positions 506 to 784 of the family's 1533-position model. The record is from RNAcentral.